UGAGGAAUAUUGCGCAAUGGGCGAAAGCCUGACGCAGCGACGCCGCGUGGGUGACGAAGGCCUUCGGGUCGUAAAACCCUGUCGGGUGGAACGAAUCUCCGCCCUCCGAAUAGGGAGGCGGAUUGACGGUACCACCGAAGGAAGCCCCGGCUAACUACGUGCCAGCAGCCGCGGUAAUACGUAGGGGGCGAGCGUUGUUCGGAUUUACUGGGCGUAAAGAGCGCGUAGGCGGUUCGAUUAGUCGGAGGUGAAAUCCCUCGGCUCAACCGAGGAUCCGCGUCCGAUACUGUCGAACUUGAGUGCAGGAGAGGAGAGCGGAAUUCCCAGUGUAGCGGUGAAAUGCGUAGAUAUUGGGAGGAACACCAGUGGCGAAGGCGGCCUCCUGGGCCGCACCUGACGCUCAGACGCGAAAGCUAGGGGAGCGAACGGGAUUAGAUACCCCGGUAGUCCUAGCUGUAAACGAUGUGGACUUGGCGUCGGUGGGGUCAAACCUGCCGGUGCCGCAGCCAACGCGCUAAGUCCACCGCCUGGGGACUACGGCCGCAAGGUUA
This 551-nucleotide ribosomal RNA is filed under the name uncultured bacterium. Its description in RNAcentral is "bacterial SSU rRNA". It matches the Rfam family "Bacterial small subunit ribosomal RNA", at positions 355 to 896 of the family's 1533-position model. The record is from RNAcentral.